GCCCUACUAGCUCAGCUGGACAGAGCGCCAGACUUCUAAUCUGGAUGUCGUGGGUUCGAAUCCCACGUAGGGCC
This 74-nucleotide transfer RNA is filed under the name Chrysochromulina tobinii. RNAcentral describes it as "Chrysochromulina sp. CCMP291 tRNA". It matches the Rfam family "tRNA". Rfam says of the family: Transfer RNA (tRNA) molecules are approximately 80 nucleotides in length. Their secondary structure includes four short double-helical elements and three loops (D, anti-codon, and T loops). Further hydrogen bonds mediate the characteristic L-shaped molecular structure. tRNAs have two regions of fundamental functional importance: the anti-codon, which is responsible for specific mRNA codon recognition, and the 3' end, to which the tRNAs corresponding amino acid is attached (by aminoacyl-tRNA synthetases). tRNAs cope with the degeneracy of the genetic code in two manners: having more than one tRNA (with a specific anti-codon) for a particular amino acid; and 'wobble' base-pairing, i.e. permitting non-standard base-pairing at the 3rd anti-codon position. The record is from Rfam by way of RNAcentral. Lineage: Eukaryota; Haptophyta; Prymnesiales; Chrysochromulinaceae.